Molecule: ribosomal RNA, 111 nt
Filed under: Caerostris darwini
Lineage: Eukaryota; Metazoa; Arthropoda; Arachnida; Araneae; Araneidae
Source: RNAcentral
AACGGCCAUACCAUGUUGAAUAUACCGGUUCUCAUUAGAUCACCGAAGUCAAGCAUCAUUGGGCGCGGUCAGUACUUGGGUGGGUGACCACCUGGGAACACCGCGUGUAGU